Molecule: ribosomal RNA, 495 nt
Filed under: uncultured bacterium
Lineage: Bacteria
Description: partial 16S ribosomal RNA
Rfam family: Bacterial small subunit ribosomal RNA
Source: RNAcentral
GACGAACGCUGGCGGCGUGCCUAAUACAUGCAAGUAGAACGCUGAAGGAGGAGCUUGCUCUUCUGGAUGAGUUGCGAACGGGUGAGUAACGCGUAGGUAACCUGCCUGGUAACGGGGGAUAACUAUUGGAAACGAUAGCUAAUACCGCAUAAGAGCAGAUGUUGCAUGACAUUUACUUAAAAGGUGCAAUUGCAUCACUACCAGAUGGACCUGCGUUGUAUUAGCUAGUUGGUGGGGUAACGGCUUACCAAGGCGACGAUACAUAGCCGACCGGCGAGGGUGAGCGGCCACACUGGGACUGAGACACGGCCCAGACUCCUACGGGUGGCAGCAGUAGUGAAUCUUCGGCAAUGGACGGAAGUCUGACCGAGCAACGCCGCGUGAGUGAAGAAGGUUUUCGGAUCGUAAAGCUCUGUUGUAAGAGAAGAACGAGUGUGAGAGUGGAAAGUUCACACUGUGACGGUAUCUUACCAGAAAGGGACGGCUAACUACGUG